RNAcentral lists this ribosomal RNA (743 nucleotides) under uncultured bacterium. RNAcentral describes it as "bacterial SSU rRNA". It matches the Rfam family "Bacterial small subunit ribosomal RNA", at positions 8 to 796 of the family's 1533-position model. The record is from RNAcentral.
AGAGUUUGAUCAUGGCUCAGAGCGAACGCUGGCGGCAGGCCUAACACAUGCAAGUCGAGCGCCGUAGCAAUACGGAGCGGCAGACGGGUGAGUAACGCGUGGGAACGUGCCCUUCGGUUCGGAAUAACUCAGGGAAACUUGAGCUAAUACCGGAUACGUCCGAAAGGAGAAAGAUUUAUCGCCGAAGGAUCGGCCCGCGUAAGAUUAGCUAGUUGGUGAGGUAACGGCUCACCAAGGCUCUGAUCUUUAGCUGGUCUGAGAGGACGAUCAGCCACACUGGGACUGAGACACGGCCCAGACUCCUACGGGAGGCAGCAGUGGGGAAUAUUGGACAAUGGGCGCAAGCCUGAUCCAGCCAUGCCGCGUGAGUGAUGAAGGCCUUAGGGUUGUAAAGCUCUUUUGGCAGGGACGAUAAUGACUGUACCUGCAGAAUAAGCCCCGGCCAACUUCGUGCCAGCAGCCGCGGUAAUACGAAGGGGGCUAGCGUUGCUCGGAAUCACUGGGCGUAAAGCGCACGUAGGCGGGUCGUUAAGUCGGGGGUGAAAUCCUGGAGCUCAACUCCAGAACUGCCUUCGAUACUGGCGAUCUUGGAGUCCGGGAGAGGUGGGUGGAACUGCGAGUGUAGAGGUGAAAUUCGUAGAUAUUCGCAAGAACACCAGUGGCGAAGGCGGCUCACUGGCCCGGUACUGACGCUGAGGUGCGAAAGCGUGGGGAGCAAACAGGAUUAGAUACCCUAGUAGUCC